AGCAACUAAUUGAAAUAUACAGUUGCUUGACAUAGUUCUGAUAGCCUGAAUGUUUUACCUCUUUAGGUAAGCAUUGGGAUGUGUAAACCUCAGUGAAUGACUUACCAAGUGUUGGACAGUGGACAUAAGAUGAAUGGGUAAAUCUAAGCACAAAUAAAUGCAGUAAAGAAGAAACUAGGCUCCAAAACCACCUAAAAUGAAAUAUAGUCCUUUCAUUUCAUUAAUCAAAUCUCACAAUUCAAGAAAUAACGGAGAUUGAUCAACAUAAAAAUACUUUUUUUUUUGUUUUUCUUAAGUUUUAA
RNAcentral lists this unclassified non-coding RNA (302 nucleotides) under Hevea brasiliensis (rubber tree). The record is from RNAcentral. Lineage: Eukaryota; Viridiplantae; Streptophyta; Magnoliopsida; Malpighiales; Euphorbiaceae.